Molecule: unclassified non-coding RNA, 240 nt
Filed under: soil metagenome
Description: partial contains 5.8S ribosomal RNA, internal transcribed spacer 2, and large subunit ribosomal RNA
Source: RNAcentral
AACCUAGCACACCUGCGGUGUGUACCUGCGGAGGGAUCAUUACAGAGUUGCAAAACUCCCUAAACCAUUGUGAACGUUACCUAAACCGUUGCUUCGGCGGGCGGCCCGGGUCCUUCCCGGCGCCCCUCGGCCCUCGCGGGCGCCCGCCGGAGGUAAACCAAACUAUUGCAUUGUAUGGCCUCUCUGAGUCUUCUGUACUGAAUAAGUCAAAACUUUUAACAACGGAUCUCAGAUCGGAAG